UUAUAAGUCAACUUAGCUCCCCAUUGCCCAGAUGAUGGAAGGGACUCCCAUCCCUGGUGCCCAGUGGCUGCUUUUGCCAGGCUCUGUGGACACCUGGCCUGUGCAGAGCCUCGUUCAUCUGCUUUGUUACUUCUGCUGUUACCAGAAGAGAGAGAGAGUCCAGGGGAGAAGAUUUAUAAGCAGUUAGGGGAUAAAAAACAAAAGAAGAGGAAGAGAUCAGAAGCAAGAGGACAAACAUUAGGAAACUGGUGAAGAAGACAGGUGAGAAAAAGGAAAAAAUAAAAACAAGAACAGAACAACAACAAAACACUAGAAACCAAAGAAAAGAUCUAGAAAGGAAGAAAAAAAUCCCAAAAAGGUUCAAUUCAAGGUGUGUCUCUGCUGUCACUGUUAGACAGUGUGGGGAAACAGAGUCCAGAGGCAAAUAGAUUAAUCCCAGAAAGCUAGCUGCAGCUUCACAGUGGGGUAGUGGGUAAUCUCAGCCAGCCUGCCCCUUUAGUUCCACUGAAGUUCAGGCUGGUUUCUGGCUAUGAGGCUGGAACUGGAUUCCUUGAGCCUACAACAGUCUGUGUCUCCUGCCAGCUUGAACUCUGCUCCCUGACCUGCUGACUAGAAUUCGGCACCCACACUGAGGCACUGGGAGCCACUAGAUGUAUUCUGCCUGCAGCUGUUCUGAGUUCUGAGCUCAGUUGGCCCCUCUCCUGGGGGAGGUCUGAACCUGUAUAAUUCACCAGCCACUGCAGUCUGGUUCGUCCACUGCUCCCUUCCACUGGUGUGUUUCUUCAUGUAGGCCUAUGGGGUCGUCAGCAGUCACCAUGUGUCUCUAGGUUCAGCCUGCCAUUCCCUUGCCAAGAGUCGGGCUCUCAGAGAGAGUACUGCUUGCUACCUCCCUCCUCUUUGUCAAAGUCUAUCUCUUCACUCUGCCUGUAGACCAGUUCUUGCUUCAGAGCCUUCCUGAGUCCCAGGGACCCACUUCCCUCCUUCUCCUCUUGAUGCUGUAUUCCAGUGUCAGGACUCAAAUUUCCGAGAGGCUUUUUCUCUGCUCCUCACCACUCUGCCAUCUUCCCAAAUACACAUCAACAAGGGUGUGUGUGGAUGGGCCGAUGGGGCUGUGGCCCUGCGUUUGCCAGAGCAGUAGUUCACCAGGGAAUGGGUGACAAUUACAGAACAGAGAACCUGUCUGAAAACAAAAAAAAAUUUUUUAACUUAAAUAUAAAAAUAAUAUCGGUAACUUUUAGGAAAAAAAAAAAAAAAAAGGAAAAGCAGAAGAGAUACAAGCUUAAUGGGACAGGUUUAUUUCAGAACAAACCUGAGAAGAUUGGUCCUGGCACUGAGACCAAACCGGAGCUAUGAGGUCUUUUAUAGGGUCAUGGUUAUAAAAGGGGGGCUGUGGAAGAAAAGGUCAAAAUGGGGCUGUGCGGGAGUUCGGUGAGGGAGCAGUGGCUCUUCAAGAGAGAAGGCUUAAGAAAGACGGUGUAGGGGGCCAGGGAUUUAGCUCAGUGGUUUCACCGCGUGCCUUGCAAGCGCAAGGUCCCAAGUUUGAUCCCUGGUGCCAAAAAAAAAGAAGCAUGGUGUGGUGUGUCUGCCGCUGGAGAAGGUGAC
Long non-coding RNA from Heterocephalus glaber (naked mole-rat), 1602 nucleotides. The record is from Ensembl. NCBI's taxonomy places the organism in Eukaryota, Metazoa, Chordata, Mammalia, Rodentia, Bathyergidae.